Molecule: ribosomal RNA, 253 nt
Filed under: uncultured bacterium
Lineage: Bacteria
Description: partial 16S ribosomal RNA
Rfam family: Bacterial small subunit ribosomal RNA
Source: RNAcentral
UACGAAGGGGGCUAGCGUUGUUCGGAAUUACUGGGCGUAAAGCGCACGUAGGCGGACGUGUAAGUCAGGGGUGAAAUCCCGGGGCUCAACCCCGGAACUGCCUUUGAUACUGCACAUCUUGAGUCCGGAAGAGGUGAGUGGAAUUCCUAGUGUAGAGGUGAAAUUCGUAGAUAUUAGGAGGAACACCAGUGGCGAAGGCGGCUCACUGGUCCGGUACUGACGCUGAGGUGCGAAAGCGUGGGGAGCAAACAGG